GAAAGACCAUCUUAGCUCUAAACUUAACAAAAUAUUUAAAAAUAUGUUCCAUGGCCCUAGUUAUUGAAUACUGUAUAAACACUUUCUGGCAGAAAAGUUUGUUUAUCUAGGAUUGCUAGGAUUAUUGCACAAGUUAAUUGCGCUUUAUCUGCUUAAUUAUAAAUUAUAGCGUGCACAAUUCAAAAAUAAAUCUUCUUGGAGGGGGUAGGAUCAUUCUGUUUUUUUGAGUACGUUUUAUAUUUCUAAAUUUAGCAGGUUGGAAUGUUGUUGAGACGGAAUCAGGUGAACUUUUUUCCAACUAUAUGAGAGAGGCUAGUUGGUUAAACAGUCACUUGAAAAUGGUGAGACGGGGUCAGGAUAUCUACAUUACUAUUUUCUUCUCUGUUAAACUUUGUUCAAUUAAUUUAUCGGGUAAUGGGAACAGAUGAAGACCGAAGCGGACAUAGCUUAUAAGUUAUGGGUUCAGGAACUAAUAAACUUCAAAUCCUAGAUAUGUCUUGGACGAAGAAGCCCUUGAAGGGAGACCAGACUAACAAGAGGAAUUGAUCACCAGAGAAUGUUUGGUUCACAAGAGGUCAGUGUCAGUUCAUGGGUGCUGCAUCUUAUUUCCCAAGGUUUUUUUAUUUGCUCCCUACUGUGAAAAGUGAUGUAAAAGAUUUCAUUUCAUUUGUAUUCACAUUAAACCAAGAAACUAGUAAGCAUUUGUGCUCUUUCUAAAGACUCUACUUAAACAUCUAAAGAAUUUCACAUAUGUUUUUUGA
This is a non-coding RNA of Solanum lycopersicum (tomato), 761 nucleotides long. The record is from RefSeq and is a predicted model, not a curated record. Lineage: Eukaryota; Viridiplantae; Streptophyta; Magnoliopsida; Solanales; Solanaceae.